CAGAACUCUGGUGGCCUGGAACCAUGGCCUGGACCCCUCUUUUCUUCCUUACUCUCCUCCUUUACUGUACAGGGUCUUUCUGCCAGCCUGUGCUGACACAGUCACCCUCUGCUUCUGCUUCUCUGGGAGCCUCAGUCAAGCUCACCUGCACUCUGAGCAAUGAGCACAGCAGCUACACCAUUGCAUGGUUUCAGCAGCAUCCAGGGCAAUCCCCUGUUUAUGUGAUGUAUGUUGGCAGUGGUGGAAACUACAACAAGGGGGAUAGGAUCCCUGAUCGAUUCUCAGGCUCCAGCUCAGGGGCUGACCGCUACUUAACCAUCUCCAACCUCCAGUCUGAGGAUGAAGCUGACUAUAUCUGUGGUGUAAGUCAUAGCACUGGGUAA
This is a non-coding RNA of Heterocephalus glaber (naked mole-rat), 383 nucleotides long. Lineage: Eukaryota; Metazoa; Chordata; Mammalia; Rodentia; Bathyergidae. The record is from the annotation of a RefSeq genome assembly.